RNAcentral lists this ribosomal RNA (761 nucleotides) under uncultured Peptostreptococcus sp. Its description in RNAcentral is "bacterial SSU rRNA". It matches the Rfam family "Bacterial small subunit ribosomal RNA", at positions 28 to 776 of the family's 1533-position model. The record is from RNAcentral. Lineage: Bacteria; Bacillati; Bacillota; Clostridia; Peptostreptococcales; Peptostreptococcaceae.
GAUGAACGCUGGCGGCGUGCCUAACACAUGCAAGUCGAGCGAGGGUUGCUCAGUAUUGAGUAUUCUAAGACUAGAAUGUUCAAUUCUGAGCAAAACCAAGCGGCGGACGGGUGAGUAACGCGUGGGUAACCUGCCCUAUACACAUGGAUAACAUACUGAAAAGUUUACUAAUACAUGAUAAUAUAUAUUUGUGGCAUCGCAGAUAUAUCAAAGUGUCAGCGGUAUAGGAUGGACCCGCGUCUGAUUAGCUAGUUGGUGAGAUAACUGCCCACCAAGGCGACGAUCAGUAGCCGACCUGAGAGGGUGAUCGGCCACAUUGGAACUGAGACACGGUCCAAACUCCUACGGGAGGCAGCAGUGGGGAAUAUUGCACAAUGGGCGAAAGCCUGAUGCAGCAACGCCGCGUGAACGAUGAAGGUCUUCGGAUCGUAAAGUUCUGUUGCAGGGGAAGAUAAUGACGGUACCCUGUGAGGAAGCCCCGGCUAACUACGUGCCAGCAGCCGCGGUAAUACGUAGGGGGCUAGCGUUAUCCGGAUUUACUGGGCGUAAAGGGUGCGUAGGUGGUCCUUCAAGUCGGUGGUUAAAGGCUACGGCUCAACCGUAGUAAGCCGCCGAAACUGGAGGACUUGAGUGCAGGAGAGGAAAGUGGAAUUCCCAGUGUAGCGGUGAAAUGCGUAGAUAUUGGGAGGAACACCAGUAGCGAAGGCGGCUUUCUGGACUGCAACUGACACUGAGGCACGAAAGCGUGGGUAGCAAACAGG